Molecule: transfer RNA, 63 nt
Filed under: Eudicella smithii
Lineage: Eukaryota; Metazoa; Arthropoda; Insecta; Coleoptera; Scarabaeidae
Also listed under: 1 other name
Description: tRNA-Asp
Source: RNAcentral
AAAAGUUUAGUUAAUUUAUAACAUUAACUUGUCAAGUUAAAAUAAUCGAAAAGAUAACUUUUA